Molecule: long non-coding RNA, 221 nt
Filed under: Elaeis guineensis (African oil palm)
Lineage: Eukaryota; Viridiplantae; Streptophyta; Magnoliopsida; Arecales; Arecaceae
Description: long non-coding RNA (EGUI_LNC046170)
Source: RNAcentral
AAAUUAAAGUCCUAAUUUAAUUGUGCAUAUCAUCUUGAGUUGUUUGCUUAUGUAAUGUUCUUUAUUAUGUAGAUUAAUGGCUUCUUCACUUUCACUUCACUCCAUUUUGGAUACAAAUAAAUUGACUGGUACCAACUAUGUGGAUUGGUUGAAAAAUCUUAAAAUAGUACUUAGUCAAGAGAAGCUUUCUUACAUCCUCGAUACCCCUGACAUUGAGCCAG